CACGUAGGUGGUUGAGUAAGUCAGAUGUGAAAGCCCCGGGCUCAACCUGGGAACUGCAUUUGAAACUGCUUGGCUGGAGUCCGGUAGAGGGGGGUGGAAUUCCAGGUGUAGCGGUGAAAUGCGUAGAUAUCUGGAGGAACAUCAGUGGCAAAGGCGGCCCCCUGGAUCGAGACUGACGCUGAGGUGCGAAAGCGUGGGGAGCAAACA
This 207-nucleotide ribosomal RNA is filed under the name uncultured bacterium. Its description in RNAcentral is "partial 16S ribosomal RNA". It matches the Rfam family "Bacterial small subunit ribosomal RNA", at positions 568 to 774 of the family's 1533-position model. The record is from RNAcentral.